GGGACAACAUUCCGAAAGGGAUGCUAAUACCGAAUGUGCUCCCUCCUCCGCAUGGAGGAGGGAGGAAAGAUGGCCUCUGCUUGCAAGCUAUCGCUGGAAGAUGGGCCCGCGUCUGAUUAGCUAGUUGGUGGGGUAACGGCUCACCAAGGCGAUGAUCAGUAGCCGGUCUGAGAGGAUGAACGGCCACAUUGGGACUGAGACACGGCCCAAACUCCUACGGGAGGCAGCAGUGGGGAAUCUUCCGCAAUGGACGAAAGUCUGACGGAGCAACGCCGCGUGAGUGAUGAAGGUCUUCGGAUUGUAAAACUCUGUUGUUAGGGACGAGAGCACCGUGUUCGAACAGGUCAUGGUGUUGACGGUACCUAACGAGGAAGCCACGGCUAACUACGUGCCAGCAGCCGCGGUAAUACGUAGGUGGCAAGCGUUGUCCGGAAUUAUUGGGCGUAAAGAGCAUGUAGGUGGGCUUUUAAGUCUGACGUGAAAAUGCGGGGCUUAACCCCGUAUGGCGUUGGAUACUGGAAGUCUUGAGUGCAGGAGAGGAAAGGGGAAUUCCCAGUGUAGCGGUGAAAUGCGUAGAUAUUGGGAGGAACACCAGUGGCGAAGGCGCCUUUCUGGACUGUGUCUGACGCUGAGAUGCGAAAGCCAGGGUAGCAAACGGGAUUAGAUACCCCGGUAGUCCUGGCCGUAA
This 688-nucleotide ribosomal RNA is filed under the name uncultured bacterium. RNAcentral describes it as "bacterial SSU rRNA". It matches the Rfam family "Bacterial small subunit ribosomal RNA", at positions 140 to 805 of the family's 1533-position model. The record is from RNAcentral.